This 2601-nucleotide long non-coding RNA is filed under the name Lathyrus oleraceus (garden pea). RNAcentral's name for it is "Pisum sativum (pea) long non-coding RNA (PSAT_LNC034157)". The record is from RNAcentral. Lineage: Eukaryota; Viridiplantae; Streptophyta; Magnoliopsida; Fabales; Fabaceae.
AGAGGAGGGAGAAGGUUAGGGCAUAGAAGAGAACCCGUUAGAGAAGAUUGAAAGAAAUUUCAAGAGAAAUCUAAGGUAAGAGGGGAGAAUAACUUUUAAUAAAAAGGGCUUAUGCAUGAGGGGUAGGGUAGACGAGUCCUUAAUCUCUAAUCGGGAUUGUAUAAAUUUUGUUUUGUUUUGUUGUUGUUGUAUGAUUUUUUUGUGCUCUAUUGAGUGAUCUGUGUGCAUUCUUAUAUUUUGAUUUUAUACGUAUGUUGAUGCCUUUGAUAAGGAAAAGCUAAUAUGAAAACCAUGUUGAUGUCAUAUUCUUGAAUACCUUCUAUAAGAUUAGGAAUAACUAUUUAUUUUUGAGAUUUCUGCUUUGCCUUAUAAUUGUGUGAUAAUUAGUGUUUGUGCCCUUUAGGGCAAAUUUUCAUAAUAAUAAUUGAAUCAUGGUAUAUACCUAUUUGGAGUAUCAUAGGUGUGUUUUUAAGAGCGGUUAGAACUCAAAUAGGCGAAAUAUACGAGUUUCGAAAUAUGUUCAAUAGGGAGAAAAGCGUGAAAAAUCGCAUGUAGAUGUAGAAGGGGAUUGACCGCCUUAUUUCAGGCACAACUUGAGUUUCGGGACUCGGAUUGAGGCACAGUUUAAAGUGUUGGUAAUAUCACGUGAUAAUCCUUCUUUUGAAGUAGAGGAAUUGGGCCUAGAGGUACUACAACAAUAGCAGUUUGCUGAUUUUUAUACCAGAGACGUAGUCAAUUUCAACCAUGCGUUGGUCAUCAUGUUUGAGGCAUAACUUGAGUUUUGUAAGUCCUUUUGAGAUGCCACAAGUUGAGUUAGAAAAAAGGGUUUAAUGAUAUUUCAAACUAAAGAGUUUCAUAAUUUUAUCAUGAGUAUAUAAGCUUUCGUGCUAUUUUGAAGUCCGACAUUCUGUUUUAGAGUUUGUGCAUAAAUUAUUGUGAUAUGGCUAAACUGAAACGAAUAGAACCGGAGUUUCGUAACUCCGUCGAAGCUACGAUGAAGUGAAUUUAAAAGAGGGUUUAAAUAUAUUUUAGACUAUAGAGUUUCAUAAUUUUAUCAUAAGUCUUUAAUUUUUGUGGUAUUUUGGAGUUAGACAAUUUUAGAGUUAGGUCAAGAGUUUUUAGCAAUUUUGAGUGUGGUAACCUUUCGUUACCUCUUUAAAGAGUUUAAGAGUCAUAUUUUAUUUGGUUAGCGUUGUUAUAGAAUUUUGAGAGUUACUUUUGAGUUGUUUAGAGUUGGAUAUUAGAAUAUAGGAUACACUUGAGUUGAACUUGAAACAUUGUUGACAUGAUAAGGUUAUCUUUUGAGUAAUAUUUUUAUGUGUUUAAGGUUGUUAAGGAUAAAGAGUUAAAAUAGAGUUGUUGAGUAAUUAAUAAUAAUAUUUUAGAGUUGAGUUAAAGAUAUUUAUUAUUUAGAGUCGUCAAUAGAGUUGUUAUAACAACCAAUUGAGUUCAUAAGAGUUAUCUUUAUGGACAAUAGUUGGUAGUAGAACAUAUUUGAGCACCUUAGAGUUAUUUUAAAGAUACCGAGAUUGUUGUAAAGUUGUUAAGAGUUCCUUAGAAACUAUGUUGUGUAUAAUUAUAUAUUCAAAUAACUUUUUACGAGUUAAUAGUAUAAAAUAAAUUAAUAAAAAUACUUUAUUUAUAUGUUUUGAGCUCAUAAAAAUGUUGUUUUCAAUUCUUUUGAGUUUUCGGAACUGUUGGCUACCGUUGGAUAGUGUUAGGGGUUGUUUGACAUAACUUAAAUGAUUAAAAAUAAUUUUUAAUUGAUUUUAUUAAUUUUAUUGAGUUGAAGUAUUAUACGUGUUAGAGUUGUGUUGCUAUGUUGAGUAUUGUGUGAGCUGUUGUGGUAAUCCAAGAGAGAGAUUUACAUGAAGUUGUCAAUGCAUGUACGCUAGGAUCAAAAGAUGGGUCUUAACUUAUUGAAUUUUGUUAACAUGUUCAUACAUUCAUGGUGAGUUGUAUCAAGUGGCAUGUUCGUUAGUUUAUAAGAAGGGACUAGUGACUUGUCCCAAGCUCAAAGAGGAGGCUUGGAGCUCAGAAUAGGGGGCUCAGGGGUUCGGAAGAGGGGACUCAGUUCCAGAGAGAACCAAAUGUUGAGUUGGUACCAUAUGCAUAUGCAUAGAGUUGAAUAAACGAGUUGCAUUGUAUAACGAGUCAUAUGUGCAUUGGUUGAGAUAUAUUUAUUGAGUUGCGAUUGGUUUUGUGAGUUGGAUGUGGGAAUGUAAUUGAUAUAUUGUGAUUGAGAUUUUGUAGAAAAUGAUAUGUGUUUAAUAUCCUAUCUUGUGGUAUAUGUCUGUUAUUAUUAAUUGUGAUUUCUCACCCUUUUUGUUUGAAUGUUGCAUUUACAUGGGCAUUGUGCAGAUACUCAAGAGAAGAGACGUUGUUGUAAGUGCAUGCUAGCUCAUGGAGCUAUUUCUUUUAGUUUAGUUGUUUUAAUUUUGGUUAUGCUCUGAUAUGUUACACUAGGGAGAAAUUUUAUUUGUUUUAUGUUGAGGUUUUCUGAGAGACAAUGUAUCCUCUCAUAUGUUUGUGUUUGGGUGUGAUAAGCAUUUGGAGAAGUCUUACGAGUCGAUACUUUUAAUAUCAAUAUGAAGCUUUAUU